AGAAAUUAUAUUGGAUUUAGAAAAAUAUAUAUAUAGUUAUAAUUUUUAUUCUUAACAAAAAUAAAUAAAUUUGACCCCACUGAAUUUUAUGGCUGGAUCCGCCCCUGGACAAACGAGUGUUAGUGACAACCGACAUGUGACAAAAAUAAAAUUUAAUACAUUUUUUAUUAUUUUUUCUUUCUUUUUUUUCUCACUUUCUUCUCCCUCUUUUCUCUCCCUUCUUUCUUCUCCCUCUGUUACAAAAAUCACAAAACUGAAAUCACGAAUUGCAUCCAAUUCUCUUUCUGAUAUCCUGUGACUUCUUCACAUCUCUCUCUCCUUCAAAAUCAAUAAAGGGGAAAGAAACAAUGAUCGAGUUGGGCUUGAUAAUCAGAAUCCUUGGGUCGAAUCCUCGUCGAAAGUGGGUGGAGUAGAUGGUUCUUCUGUCCCAGACUAUUCUAAUGGUCAUUCCUUAAAAUUGAUGCAAAACACUUGUAAUCUGGAGAACCACCAUAACCUGAUUACACCAGACUCCAUCCUUUCAUCACAUGACAUGCUAAACUCUGCCACAUUUUUAGACCCUAUGCCUCGCCCAGAUUCAGCAUCAAUAUUGGUUGAUGAUAAAUUGGGUUCUUUGAUUCUUUCCAGUUCAGAAUCAGGAACUGAUGUAGUCAGGAUCAAAGAAAAAAAUAUUAAUGAAGUAUCGAAGGAAACAAAUCAUGUAGUAAAAAUUGAAGACUCCAAUAUGCCAUGUAUCUCUGGCCUAGUGCAAAACCAGAAACCAGAUGACAAGGCAUCUCCUGAGGCUAUCAAUUUAAAUUGCUUAAGACCUACUGAAGAGAGCAGUGGAGUUGAGAAAUCAAAAGGGGUUGGAGGUUUUAUCUCUCUUGAUAGUGAGGAGCUUCAAGCUGAUUGUUUGAGUUUUUUAUCUGACUUGAUUAAAUCUGUGAAGAAGGCAGCAUUAGAGGGUAUUGAGUAGGUAAAAGCUGAAGUUCAAGAACAUGCCAUUAGAGGGUGUUGAGGGUGUUUCGAAUCUCAAAUAAGAUUUUUCAUGGAAUAUCUGUUAUCAUCAACCUUUGUGAAUCCAGAUAAAUAUUUUUCCACCUCAUCCCAUUCCCUAUUUGUCACCAUUUCCUCAAAAUGCCGCAUGUUGAAGAAAAAUCCCGAUUAUUGCUCCAAUCUCGACCCCAUAAAGAAACAACAAAUUAAGUAAAGAAUAAAACUAACACCAAUUAAUCACUUAACAAUCAAAACAAAUGCCUAAACUAUAACAAAUAUCCUAAAAACAGAGACUUUUCUGUCCCAAUUCAUUUUAUUUUUUAAUAACCUAAAAUUCAAACACAUGUAUACAGAAUUUAUAUAUCUGGACAUACAAUUAUACAUAGAUUAACAUAGAUAGAAAAGGGAAACUCAUACCCGGAUUUGAUGAGGGAUAAAUUCGCAGAUCGAAGGGUUUUGAUUUCAAUUUUGUGAUUUUGGAACAGAGGAAGAAGAAAGGAGAUAGAGAAAAGAGGGAGAAGAAAGAGAUAG
RNAcentral lists this long non-coding RNA (1509 nucleotides) under Panax ginseng (ginseng). RNAcentral's name for it is "long non-coding RNA (PGIN_LNC010764)". The record is from RNAcentral. Lineage: Eukaryota; Viridiplantae; Streptophyta; Magnoliopsida; Apiales; Araliaceae.